CCUACGGGAGGCAGCAGUGAGGAAUAUUGGUCAAUGGGCGCGAGCCUGAACCAGCCAAGUAGCGUGAAGGAUGACUGCCCUACGGGUUGUAAACUUCUUUUAUAAAGGAAUAAAGUGAGGCACGUGUGCCUUUUUGUAUGUACUUUAUGAAUAAGGAUCGGCUAACUCCGUGCCAGCAGCCGCGGUAAUACGGAGGAUCCGAGCGUUAUCCGGAUUUAUUGGGUUUAAAGGGAGCGUAGAUGGGUUGUUAAGUCAGUUGUGAAAGGUUGCGGCUCAACCGUAAAAUUGCAAUUGAUACUGGCAGUCUUGAGUACAGUAGAGGUAGGCGGAAUUCGUGGUGUAGCGGUGAAAUGCUUAGAUAUCACGAAGAACUCCGAUUGCGAAGGCAGCUUACUAAACUGACACUGACGUUGAGGCUCGAAAGUGUGGGUAUCGAACAGGAUUAGAUACCCGGGUAGUC
RNAcentral lists this ribosomal RNA (460 nucleotides) under uncultured bacterium. Its description in RNAcentral is "partial 16S ribosomal RNA". It matches the Rfam family "Bacterial small subunit ribosomal RNA", at positions 338 to 795 of the family's 1533-position model. The record is from RNAcentral.